UAGCAGAGCGUGGUUCCGAUCCACGAAUCUCUAAGUUGUGGGCAUAGCACGCUAACACUGUACCACUCUGCU
Molecule: transfer RNA, 72 nt
Filed under: Fasciola hepatica (liver fluke)
Lineage: Eukaryota; Metazoa; Platyhelminthes; Trematoda; Plagiorchiida; Fasciolidae
Description: tRNA-Val
Source: RNAcentral